Molecule: long non-coding RNA, 344 nt
Filed under: Homo sapiens (human)
Lineage: Eukaryota; Metazoa; Chordata; Mammalia; Primates; Hominidae
Description: HSALNT0318476
Source: RNAcentral
CAAAGCUACACAAAUGCUCUGAAGAACUUUUACAUUUUGUAAGUGGAGUUAUGCUGCAGGUCAAGUUGCCUAUGACUAACGCACAAGGAUCAAGAAUGCUGACUUAGGAUGUUCCAAGAAGAAGAUGGAAAACAGGGGUAUAAAUUUGGGAAGUUUUAGGUGGUUCAUGAUGGUCAAAGUGGAAAGUGCUUCUGAAGAAUAUUAGAAGAUGAAACCCAAGAGAACACAAUUUCAAGUUACAUAAAAAACAUUCUGGAUGGUGAAGAGCAGGCACAAGAGGCAAACUUUAAUUGAUCCUUAAAAAUAACCACUGCUUCAUGAGGCCAGCAUCAUCCUGAUACCAA